GGCGAUAGACUGUAAAUCUAUUUAUGGGAAUUAUUCUCUCUCACCA
This 46-nucleotide transfer RNA is filed under the name Chorthippus parallelus. RNAcentral describes it as "transfer RNA-Tyr". Lineage: Eukaryota; Metazoa; Arthropoda; Insecta; Orthoptera; Acrididae. The record is from RNAcentral.